RNAcentral lists this non-coding RNA (98 nucleotides) under Yersinia bercovieri. Its description in RNAcentral is "Yersinia sRNA 224". It matches the Rfam family "Yersinia sRNA 224". Lineage: Bacteria; Pseudomonadati; Pseudomonadota; Gammaproteobacteria; Enterobacterales; Yersiniaceae. The record is from RNAcentral.
AACAAAGUCGCCUGAGCGGAGAGAACAGGCAGAUCGUAAAGACGCCGUAAAAUCAUCCCUGAUGGCUCGAGCCGCGCCCUCCCUGGCGCGGACGCUUU